Molecule: ribosomal RNA, 467 nt
Filed under: uncultured bacterium
Lineage: Bacteria
Description: partial 16S ribosomal RNA
Rfam family: Bacterial small subunit ribosomal RNA
Source: RNAcentral
ACGCACGCUGGCGGCGUGCUUCACCCCUGCCAGUCGAACGGAAAGGCCCUGCUUUUGUGGGGUGCUCGAGUGGCGAACGGGUGAGUAACACGUGAGUAACCUGCCCUUGACUUUGGGAUAACUUCAGGAAACUGGGGCUAAUACCGGAUAGGAGCUCCUGCUGCAUGGUGGGGGUUGGAAAGUUUCGGCGGUUGGAGAUGGACUCGCGGCUUAUCAGCUUGUUGGUGGGGUAGUGGCUUACGAAGGCUUUGACGGGUAGCCGGCCUGAGAGGGUGGCCGGCCACAUGGGGACUGAGAUACGGCCCAGACUCCUACGGGAGGCAGCAGUGGGGAAUAUGGCACAAUGGGCGGAAGCCUGAUGCAGCAACGCCGCGUGCGGGAUGACGGCCUUCGGGUUGUAAACCGCUUUCGCCUGUGACGAAGCGUGAGUGACGGUAAUGGGUAAAGAAGCACCGGCUAACUACGUG